UCUGUCUGGCUUAUUGCAGUGAGCAUAAUGCCCUCUAGGUCCAUUCAUUUUGUUGCAAAUGCACUUUGCAGUAAGAAAUGGACAUCAGUGUUGUUGGAAAGAAUGAUUGGUGUUUCUGCAAGUUCCAAACUCCUUCAAACCCUUGUCAGCUCCUGUGAUACUCUCUUCUUCUAUAUUAAUGUUGCCCCCUUUAGGACAUCACUAACUCUGUAGGAUGUGAUACAGACAGUUCCUGACUUAAGACAUUUCGACUUAAGAUGUUUUGACUUUAUGGUGCUGUGAAAGCAUUCAGUGGAAACCAUACUUCAAUCUUGUGAUCUUUACCCAGGCUCUUGGUUUGCAGUGUGAUCCUUGCUCGUGAUGCUGAGCAGCAGCAGUAAAUUACAGCUCCCAGACAGCCACCCCAUCAUGAGAGUCAACAACCAAUACACAUAAAACCAUUCUGUACUCCUACGACCAUUCUGUUUUUCAC
Canis lupus familiaris (dog) is the source of this 472-nucleotide long non-coding RNA. RefSeq lists it as uncharacterized. The record is from RefSeq and is a predicted model, not a curated record. NCBI's taxonomy places the organism in Eukaryota, Metazoa, Chordata, Mammalia, Carnivora, Canidae. The transcript has 3 exons.